RNAcentral lists this ribosomal RNA (301 nucleotides) under uncultured bacterium. Its description in RNAcentral is "partial 16S ribosomal RNA". It matches the Rfam family "Bacterial small subunit ribosomal RNA", at positions 509 to 808 of the family's 1533-position model. The record is from RNAcentral.
CAGUAGCCGCGGUAAUACGUAGGGGGCAAGCGUUAUCCGGAUUCAUUGGGCGUAAAGCGCUCGUAGGCGGUCUGUUAGGUCGGGAGUUAAAUCCGGAGGCUCAACCUCCGUUCGCUCCCGAUACCGGCAGACUUGAGUUUGGUAGGGGAAGGUGGAAUUCCUAGUGUAGCGGUGGAAUGCGCAGAUAUUAGGAAGAACACCAGUGGCGAAGGCGGCCUUCUGGGCCAUAACUGACGCUGAGGAGCGAAAGCUAGGGGAGCAAACAGGAUUAGAUACCCCAGUAGUCCCUGUCUCUUAUACA